GACGAACGCUGGCGGCGUGCUUAACACAUGCCAGUCGAACGAAGUGGCGAACGGGUGAGUAAUACGUGGGUAACCUGCCCUCCUUUUUGGGAUAAGCCUUGGAAACGGGGUCUAAUACCGAAUAAAGGGGGAGGGGCUCGCGGCCUAUCAGCUGGUUGGUGGGGGUAUGGCCUACCAAGGCGGUGACGGGUAGCCGGACUGAGAGUGUGACCGGCCACAUGGGGCCUGAGAUACGGCUCAGACUCCUACGGGAGGCAGCAGUGGGGGAUAUGGCACAAUGGGCGCAAGCCUGAUGCAGCGACGCCGAGUGGGGGAUGAAGGCUUUCGGGUUGUAAACCUCUUUCGCUCUCGAACGGGUAGGUGGAGAAGAAGCGCCGGCUAACUACGUGCCAGCAGCCGCGGUAAUUC
RNAcentral lists this ribosomal RNA (408 nucleotides) under uncultured bacterium. Its description in RNAcentral is "partial 16S ribosomal RNA". It matches the Rfam family "Bacterial small subunit ribosomal RNA", at positions 28 to 526 of the family's 1533-position model. The record is from RNAcentral.